This is a long non-coding RNA of Daphnia pulicaria, 297 nucleotides long. RefSeq lists it as uncharacterized. The record is from RefSeq and is a predicted model, not a curated record. The transcript has 2 exons. Lineage: Eukaryota; Metazoa; Arthropoda; Branchiopoda; Diplostraca; Daphniidae.
AAUUAUAUCUAUCCCAAAUGUAAUCUCAAAAAGUUGUAUUCGUAAACUUGACGCACACAAGACGUUUUAUUUUCAAACAAUAAUCGAAGGAUAUUUUCUUGGUACCUGCACCCAGAUGCCGUUCAACCUGUAAAAAAAAUAAUUAUUAGAACGUAAACUUUGUAUACGAAUGUUUAUCUUAAGCAUGAAAAAUCAGUAAGUGCAAUGGUUUGUCUGUCAUUUUCUUCCGAGAGAUUCCCACACAAAAAUUCAUCAUUAUAAUUAGACCCUACUGAAAAUUUUUAUAAACUUACUCAA